GCUUACACAUGCAAGUCGAACGGGAUCCCUGGCAGCUUGCUGUCGGGGUGAGAGUGGCGAACGGGUGAGUAAUGCGUGACCAACCUGCCCUGUGCACCGGAAUAGCUCCUGGAAACGGGUGGUAAUACCGGAUGCUCCGCUCCAUCGCAUGGUGGGGUGGGAAAUGCUUUUGCGGCAUGGGAUGGGGUCGCGUCCUAUCAGCUUGUUGGCGGGGUGAUGGCCCACCAAGGCGUUGACGGGUAGCCGGCCUGAGAGGGUGACCGGCCACAUUGGGACUGAGAUACGGCCCAGACUCCUACGGGAGGCAGCAGUGGGGAAUAUUGCACAAUGGGCGCAAGCCUGAUGCAGCGACGCCGCGUGCGGGAUGGAGGCCUUCGGGUUGUAAACCGCUUUUGUUCAAGGGCAAGGCACGGUUUCGGCCGUGUUGAGUGGAUUGUUCGAAUAAGCACCGGCUAU
This 456-nucleotide ribosomal RNA is filed under the name Bifidobacterium animalis. Its description in RNAcentral is "bacterial SSU rRNA". It matches the Rfam family "Bacterial small subunit ribosomal RNA", at positions 46 to 500 of the family's 1533-position model. The record is from RNAcentral. Lineage: Bacteria; Bacillati; Actinomycetota; Actinomycetes; Bifidobacteriales; Bifidobacteriaceae.